CAUGUAGUAUUUGUCCGUGAAGUGUUUUUGGCGCGCCCCAAGCCGAGCAGCACUAGCGCUAGAAGUGAUGAACCCGGAAAGCUCCUCGGAGUCGGUCCUUUUUCGAAAAAACCAUGUUAGGUUAAGUCUAGCUCAUUUGUACCGGUACUACAAUUAAAAUAAUUUAUCUGAUUUAUAAUCUGAUAAUCUAGAAAUAACCGUAAUUUUCAGUGUUUUAUUGUCAGUAUCAUACUUUCCCUCAGUUGUCAACGCCGGGAUCAAGUGGAUGUUGUCGGUGUUAUCAGCUCAUACAGCCUAUUCUUGGAAACCACAAAAACCUUGUUUUCAAUCGUUCUUUAUCAGGAGGAGUCUAGCACAAUCAUGAAAUUGUACCCCACAGAAGAAGAAACUUCGGAAAGUCGAAGGAAUGAAGUUCCUAGAGUUCCAUCUGCUAAUCAGAGUGUGGAUAGCCUUCAGACACGUCAAUUUGUCCACAGUUUUGGAGAACUGGAUCUGACUGAAGAAAACAUGGACUUCCUCUUCCUUAUUGUAUAUGAUCAGUCCUAUAGAAGGCAUUAUGUUCCUGAAUUUGUUUCGCGAAGCAACGAUACGAUGGUCGUCUUGUGCGAUUUUUUCAACUGCGGUGGAACAACAGGCACGGAUGAAUGGUUUUGUUACGGCAUACCAGGCAAAGAAAUAUCCCUUAAAGACUUUAAAAAUUAUGCUUCUCUCAUUGAAGAAUCAUGCCGGUACUACUUUCUCAUAGAAGUAAAGCAUGCGCCGAAAGGAAGCAACAUCUGUUUCAAGGAAUUAAAGGAUGAUAAUGAAUUAGUGCCUUUUUGUAGGAACACAAUAAUUGCAAUUGUGAAGCCAGAAUGAAGGCUGCAUACGCCCUAAUGCCGGUGAAUUUCAACAAAUUCAACAGGAACUUGUGGUCAGAUAAUUGUUGGAAGGAGAAUCCUAAAGUUUUCUCUCAUCAUCAAUGGUUUUUAUUUUCUUUUUUGCCCCGUCAUUUUUCUAAAACUUUUUAUGCUUGAAUGUUCUUGGUUUAUUUCACGACUGUUAGCGUUUAAAUGAAAGGUAUUGAGUCAAAUUUGGUAGCUAAAAGGUUUUUUUCUUUUUCAGAACUCCUCGUUUUUCUUUUUUUUAAUUUCUAUUUAUUAUUUACUGUACAUUUGUACAUCUGUAUAAAUAAUUUAGUUUUCCACUUUUCUGAUUUUAAUUGUUGCUAAGGUAAAGAGGAAGAAGAAAAAUGUUUUACUCCACAAUUUGAGCCGUGUUUUGUACAUUAAUUUCGUGAUACUUUUUAUAUCUAGACUCAUUCUUGUUUUUAAUUAAACGGUUCUUUUGAUCGUAACCUGUCGUUCUUUCUUCUGUUUCUCACACUUGAGCAUGAUGUCUUAAGAUUUCAACCAUGCUCAUUCCCCGAUCAGGGUGUCUACUUAGCAUCGGUCAGUUGGGAGCUCCAAUGAACUCGUGGAGCAUUUUAGACCAGAAAACUGCAUCCAGUGGGUCAUUUCUAAUUGGACCAGCUUCAUCGCAGCCUGAUCAGAGAACUUUCGAUUUUAACACCGAAAAAUUUAGUCCGUGUGGCCUGUGUCGAUUUUUCUCGAUUUUGGGCAGGAAACAACUUUUGAGAUUUGCGUUGAAUUCUGUGUAGUUUGAGGCGCAGAAUCAAUUGCUCCCAGUCCUGAGACCUGCCGGAGCAUCCUAAGCCAAGAAACGAGUGUUUCUGAUGAAGCAUUUUAUUCUUGUUUUUCGCUGAUUGAGUGAACCAGCAGAGUCGUGGAGCUUUUUAGAACUCUUCUGACCUUUUUUUCA
This 1800-nucleotide long non-coding RNA is filed under the name Bemisia tabaci. RNAcentral describes it as "lncRNA ENSSSA1UGG004222". The record is from RNAcentral. Lineage: Eukaryota; Metazoa; Arthropoda; Insecta; Hemiptera; Aleyrodidae.